This 420-nucleotide long non-coding RNA is filed under the name Athene cunicularia (burrowing owl). RNAcentral describes it as "lncRNA (ENSACUG00000010192.1)". The record is from RNAcentral. Lineage: Eukaryota; Metazoa; Chordata; Aves; Strigiformes; Strigidae.
CAUCAUCCAGGCUCCUUCAGGUCGUUUGCCUUAGACUCACAUAUAUCAUAUGGCAUGCUCAUUUGUAUGCAGCGGGGCAGAUUUGUCAAGGGUCCUGCAGGAAAAAGGAGCUUAAAUCAUCCUGCGUUUGCAGGUCUUCCUUCUUUGAUCAUAACGGAGCUCAAUCCUUCCUAUCAAGAUUUAACUUUGGCUCUGAGUCAAUUCCUCAAGCAUUUCCUAGGGAAAUGUUGCCAUGUGAAGCAUGGACAGGAGUGUCGGCUAAGCCUCCGCAAACAGAAGGCAGCUGACAUAGUGCGUGGUUGUCCCUGCUCAAAGGACACCCUGGACUGGAGAGAGCUACUGAGAACACUGCUGAGUAAAAGUAUGAAAAAGUCAUCAGAAGAGGAGUGUGAUUAUUUUCUAAGCAUGAGGGAAAUAUAA